CCCUCAGUGGUGCAAAUGGUUAACACAUUCGACUACUAAUCGAAAGGUUGGUGGUUUGAGUCCACCCAGAGGCA
Trichechus manatus latirostris (Florida manatee) is the source of this 74-nucleotide non-coding RNA. The record is from the annotation of a RefSeq genome assembly. Lineage: Eukaryota; Metazoa; Chordata; Mammalia; Sirenia; Trichechidae.